GAAGUUAUAGCUCAGUGGUAGAGUAUUUGCCUAGCAUGCACAAGGUCCUGGGUUCAAUCCCCAGUACCUCCA
Molecule: transfer RNA, 72 nt
Filed under: Camelus bactrianus (Bactrian camel)
Lineage: Eukaryota; Metazoa; Chordata; Mammalia; Artiodactyla; Camelidae
Also listed under: 3 other names
Rfam family: tRNA
About the family: Transfer RNA (tRNA) molecules are approximately 80 nucleotides in length. Their secondary structure includes four short double-helical elements and three loops (D, anti-codon, and T loops).
Source: Rfam by way of RNAcentral